GCGGCUGGAUCCCCUCCUUACAGAUAAACAAAAAAGUGGUUCGAAAGAACCCAUUUCUUUUAUCUCUUUACUCGGCUCCGUUUCUCUUGGUUUCUAGAACAUUGUUGGGUCUGUAGCUCAGUUGGUUAGAGCGCACCCCUGAUAAGGGUGAGGUCGGUAGUUCAAAUCUACCCAGACCCACCAUCUAACUAUUUAGAUGGGGCUGUAGCUCAGCUGGGAGAGCGUCGCGUUCGCAAUGCGAAGGUCGGGAGUUCGAUCCUCCUCAGCUCCACCAAAGCGAUAUGAGUUAGCGAGUUUAAUUCAUAUCCCUUUGAUGGCAAUAAUGUGCUAAAAAGGCAAAAGUUCUUUAACAAAGAGGGAAGCAAAAGACCGCAUAGGUUAAGCGUUUGACGGCAAUGACCAGAAGAAGGCAGACGAAGAAGAGGCAUCUUCGGAGUGUGAAAGAAUCAGGGAAAAGCAGUCAGAGGCGAGAGCUAUGAGGUUAAAGGUAUAUUGCAAAGCAAAGAAACACAGAAAGCACAAGAAAAGAGUCUUGAGGGUUAUCAAGUCAACAAAGAAAGUGCAUACGGUGGAUGCCUAGGCAGUAGGAGGCGAAGAAGGACGUGGAAGGCUGCGAAAAGCGUCGGUGAGUUGUCAAACGAGCGUUGACCCGGCGAUGU
Molecule: unclassified non-coding RNA, 659 nt
Filed under: uncultured Acidobacteriota bacterium
Lineage: Bacteria; Pseudomonadati; Acidobacteriota
Description: uncultured Acidobacteria bacterium partial contains 16S ribosomal RNA, 16S-23S ribosomal RNA intergenic spacer, and 23S ribosomal RNA
Rfam family: tRNA (bases 107-180)
Source: RNAcentral